RNAcentral lists this ribosomal RNA (40 nucleotides) under Clostridioides difficile. RNAcentral describes it as "partial 23S ribosomal RNA". Lineage: Bacteria; Bacillati; Bacillota; Clostridia; Peptostreptococcales; Peptostreptococcaceae. The record is from RNAcentral.
GUUAUUAAGGGUGCAGGGCGGAUGCCUUGGCCCUUUAGUA